Neogale vison (American mink) is the source of this 922-nucleotide long non-coding RNA. RefSeq lists it as uncharacterized. The record is from RefSeq and is a predicted model, not a curated record. Lineage: Eukaryota; Metazoa; Chordata; Mammalia; Carnivora; Mustelidae. The transcript is spliced from 4 exons.
UAAGGAAUCUGAGGCACAGAGGUAUUAGUACCUUGCCCAAAGUCACCUAGCUCAUAAGUGAUGGAGUCAGAAUUUUAAUGGAGCCUCAAAUUCUGAAUCCAGCAUCAAGGCUCUUCCCAACUGGACCACAGCCUUCCUUAAUGUUCUCAAAACACUCUCCUCCUCAUCGCGACCACCCUUGAGAACUUCGGACUAUGCACCAUGCAGGUUCUUGCCUUUGUUUCUUGCUUUCCAAUGUGAUUUGGUGCAUGCGUAGUCGGGAAUCUGACCCGCCCAAAGUGACGUUCAGCCUCUGUUCCAGAUUCCAGAGGAGCUUCCUGCCAUAGCACUAUGACUAUGGAUAAGUGUUUGGAGAUAUGUUUCAUCAUAAAUACUCUCAUUUACACUGACAAUGAGCAUUGAAUAAAAUUGCUAAAUUUUACAUAGGGCUUUACACAGUGCUUCAUAUAGUGUUCAUACUUACUCAUCUCCUGAAGAGUAUCUAAGUGCUCAAUGAAAUUGAAGAAGUUUUAUUUGUGUGGUCUUCUUACUAUAGCAGUAUAUUUUGGGGAUGAUUGUCUAAUUCUAGGUUUUAAUAAAAACAGAUUUUUUGGAAAGGUCUAAUGGGGCAGGAACCUUAUAGCUCGGGCUAAUUCCAUUCGGAUAUGAUCACUAGAGAAACAGGAACAAUAUGAAUCAGCAUUUGGCAAUUAUCCUCAUGAAUCAGUCAAAAGAGAGGAAACCACACUCUUGGCAAGAGUCAUUAGGGAGGCAAGAUUUAUAAGUAAUACUUUUUGUGGAGUUUUGCUGAAUAUAAAUAUAAAUGACAUGUAAGAAAAGGGAAAAGUCAAUGUCAAUCUGCGACCGUCUCCAAAAAAAACAACCAAAAAAAGCCCCCCAAAACCCAAGCAUUAUUCACUUUCUAGUGGCAUUGUGCUUCUUG